This is a small nuclear RNA of Sorex fumeus (smoky shrew), 163 nucleotides long. RefSeq annotates it as U1 spliceosomal RNA. NCBI's taxonomy places the organism in Eukaryota, Metazoa, Chordata, Mammalia, Eulipotyphla, Soricidae. The record is from RefSeq and is a predicted model, not a curated record. The transcript has a single exon.
AUACUUACCUGGCACGGGAGAUACCAUGAUCUCGAAGGUGGUAUUCUCAGGGUGAGGCUUAUCCAUUGCAUUUCUUAUGUAAUGACCCUUGAGAUUUCCCUGAAAUUGGGAAACUUGAUGGCAUAAUUUGUGGUAGUGUGGAAUUGUGUUUGCACUUUCCCCU